AGUUUUGCAGGUUUGCAUUUCAGCAUACACAUAAUACGGCUGUGCAAAUCCAUGCAAAACUGA
RNAcentral lists this microRNA precursor (63 nucleotides) under Dasypus novemcinctus (nine-banded armadillo). RNAcentral describes it as "microRNA dno-mir-19b precursor (dno-mir-19b-2)". Its record names the gene dno-mir-19b-2. It matches the Rfam family "mir-19 microRNA precursor family", at positions 11 to 71 of the family's 79-position model. From Rfam's summary of the family: The hairpin precursors (represented here) are predicted based on base pairing and cross-species conservation -- their extents are not known. The record is from miRBase by way of RNAcentral. Lineage: Eukaryota; Metazoa; Chordata; Mammalia; Cingulata; Dasypodidae.